This 582-nucleotide ribosomal RNA is filed under the name uncultured bacterium. Its description in RNAcentral is "partial 16S ribosomal RNA". It matches the Rfam family "Bacterial small subunit ribosomal RNA", at positions 355 to 932 of the family's 1533-position model. The record is from RNAcentral.
UGGGGAAUUUUGGACAAUGGGCGAAAGCCUGAUCCAGCAAUGCCGCGUGUGUGAAGAAGGCCUUCGGGUUGUAAAGCACUUUUGUCCGGAAAGAAAUCCUUGGCUCUAAUACAGUCGGGGGAUGACGGUACCGGAAGAAUAAGCACCGGCUAACUACGUGCCAGCAGCCGCGGUAAUACGUAGGGUGCAAGCGUUAAUCGGAAUUACUGGGCGUAAAGCGUGCGCAGGCGGUUUGCUAAGACCGAUGUGAAAUCCCCGGGCUCAACCUGGGAACUGCAUUGGUGACUGGCAGGCUAGAGUAUGGCAGAGGGGGGUAGAAUUCCACGUGUAGCAGUGAAAUGCGUAGAGAUGUGGAGGAAUACCGAUGGCGAAGGCAGCCCCCUGGGCCAAUACUGACGCUCAUGCACGAAAGCGUGGGGGAGCAAAACAGGAUUAGAUACCCUGGUAGUCCACGCCCUAAAACGAUGUCAACUAGUUGUUGGGGAUUCAUUUCCUUAGUAACGUAGCUAACGCGUGAAGUUGACCGCCUGGGGAGUACGGUCGCAAGAUUAAAACUUAAAUGAAUUGACGGGGUCAUAGCUG